This 382-nucleotide ribosomal RNA is filed under the name uncultured eukaryote. Its description in RNAcentral is "partial 18S ribosomal RNA". It matches the Rfam family "Eukaryotic small subunit ribosomal RNA", at positions 592 to 976 of the family's 1831-position model. The record is from RNAcentral.
UGUAAGCGUAUACCAAAGUUGUUGCAGUUAAAACGCUCGUAGUCGGAAUUUGGCAGUUCCGGAUGUGUGCACGUCGUGUGCGCACUUCGCGGGGAUUGCUUAUGUGGUCUUGCGUAGGAUGAGGCACUUUUAUUAGUGAACGUCCUCACGCAACCACUUUUUACUGUGAGAAAAUCAGAGUGCUCAAAGCAGGCAUUUGCCGUGAAUGUAUUAGCAUGGAAUAAUAGAAUAGGACUUGGUUCUAUUUUGUUGGUUUGUUGGGACUGAGUAAUGAUUAAGAGGGACAGUUGGGGGCAUUUGUAUUUCGGUGCUAGAGGUGAAAUUCUUAGAUUACCGAAAGACAAACUGCUGCGAAAGCGUCUGCCAAGGAUGUUUUCAUUGA